RNAcentral lists this non-coding RNA (164 nucleotides) under uncultured Roseburia sp. Lineage: Bacteria; Bacillati; Bacillota; Clostridia; Lachnospirales; Lachnospiraceae. The record is from RNAcentral.
UUGGGAGAAUAUUAAAAAAUCUUAGUAUGCCUAUCAAUUUUCAGUGCUGUUCUGCCACGGACGGCAGAACAAGGCUUCACGAGUCAUGGACGACUCGUUGAACGCCGUUCACGUCACUUCAAAAUACCUUUAUAAGGCAUACUUAGAUUUUCUUAUAUUCGUAC